Molecule: ribosomal RNA, 460 nt
Filed under: uncultured bacterium
Lineage: Bacteria
Description: partial 16S ribosomal RNA
Rfam family: Bacterial small subunit ribosomal RNA
Source: RNAcentral
CCUACGGGUGGCAGCAGUGAGGAAUAUUGGUCAAUGGACGAGAGUCUGAACCAGCCAAGUAGCGUGAAGGAUGACUGCCCUAUGGGGUGUAAACUUAUUUUAUAUGGGAAUAAAAUGUUCCACGUGUGGGAUUUUGUAUGUACCAUAUGAAUAAGGAUCGGCUAACUCCGUGCCAGCAGCCGCGGUAAUACGGAGGAUCCGAGCGUUAUGCGGAUUUAUUGGGUUUAAAGGGAGCGUAGGUGGAUUGUUAAGUAGGUUGUGAAAGUGUGCGGCUCAACCGUAAAAUUGCAGUUGAAACUGGCAGUCUGGAGUACAGUAGAGGUGGGCGGAAUUCGUGGUGUAGCGGUGAAAUGCUUAGAUAUCACGAAGAACUCCGAUUGCGAAGGCAGCUCACUGGACUGCAACUGACACUGAGGCUCGAAAGUGUGGGUAUCAAACAGGAUUAGAUACCCGAGUAGUC